This 443-nucleotide long non-coding RNA is filed under the name Daphnia pulicaria. RNAcentral describes it as "uncharacterized LOC124320869, transcript variant X3". Lineage: Eukaryota; Metazoa; Arthropoda; Branchiopoda; Diplostraca; Daphniidae. The record is from RNAcentral.
CUUAAAAGCAGACGCAUCUUUGUUUUCUUGUUUGCAUUUUCCAGUCUUAAAUAGAGACCUUUCAUCUGAAGAAAUUGCCAGUAUUUGUGAUCUGCGGGUUUAUCUUCAUCAGAAGUUAUCAAUGCUGGAAUGAAAACAGGACAAAUCAAGGAAGGAGAAAUAAUCCUACGAUGAAGACCACACCAAGGCCUUGUUGGAUUUACAACUAAUCAAGGAAUACAAAGGAUUUUACAGCUCUUGAGCAAAAGUUUAUUCACAGUAUUCCCGUAAAUGGAAUGGACAAUUGACGCUGUCAGCAGCAUAGGCUACCAAUACACAUCAAAGAAUGGUCACCUAUAAUACAACUUUUUCCAGUGAUUUCAUGUAUUCUUUGUACUGAUUUGGUUUAAAAUAGUAGUAUGUAUGUGAUUUAUAUAAGAACUUAUUACAACUGUUCUUGCAUA